Molecule: ribosomal RNA, 164 nt
Filed under: uncultured bacterium
Lineage: Bacteria
Description: partial 16S ribosomal RNA
Rfam family: Bacterial small subunit ribosomal RNA
Source: RNAcentral
UAGUAAUGGCAGGUCAGCAUACUGCCGUGAAUACGUUCCCGGGCCUUGUACACACCGCCCGUCACACCAUGAGAGUUGGGAAUACCCGAAGCCUGUGAGCUAACUUUUAGAGGCAGCAGUCGAAGGUAGGAUCAAUGAUUGGGGUGAAGUCGUAACAAGGUAGC